RNAcentral lists this ribosomal RNA (274 nucleotides) under uncultured bacterium. RNAcentral's name for it is "partial 16S ribosomal RNA". It matches the Rfam family "Bacterial small subunit ribosomal RNA", at positions 523 to 796 of the family's 1533-position model. The record is from RNAcentral.
AUACGGAGGGUGCAAGCGUUGUCCGGAUUUAUUGGGUUUAAAGGGUGUGUAGGCGGUGUAUUAAGUCAGUGGUGAAAGCCUGCGGCUCAACCGUAGAACUGCCAUUGAUACUGACACACUUGAGUAUGGACGAGGUAGGCGGAAUUUAUGGUAUAGCGGUGAAAUGCAUAGAUACCAUAAAGAACACCGAUAGCGAAGGCAGCUUACUAGGCCAUAACUGACGCUGAGGCACGAAAGCGUGGGGAGCGAACAGGAUUAGAUACCCCAGUAGUCC